RNAcentral lists this ribosomal RNA (120 nucleotides) under uncultured bacterium. RNAcentral's name for it is "partial 16S ribosomal RNA". It matches the Rfam family "Bacterial small subunit ribosomal RNA", at positions 796 to 914 of the family's 1533-position model. The record is from RNAcentral.
CAUGCCGUAAACGGUGGGCGCUAGGUGUAGGGGGCUUCCACGUCUUCUGUGCCGUAGCUAACGCAUUAAGCGCCCCGCCUGGGGAGUACGGCCGCAAGGCUAAAACUCAAAGGAAUUGAC